This 427-nucleotide ribosomal RNA is filed under the name uncultured bacterium. Its description in RNAcentral is "bacterial SSU rRNA". It matches the Rfam family "Bacterial small subunit ribosomal RNA", at positions 355 to 776 of the family's 1533-position model. The record is from RNAcentral.
UCUAGAGGCUUCGGCAAUGGGGGAAACCCUGACCGAGCGACGCCGCGUGCGGGAUUGAAGGCCUUCGGGUCGUAAACCGCUGUCGGGUGGGAAGAAUGCCUGUAUGGUGAAUACAGGAGUGACGGUACCACCAGAGGAAGCCCCGGCUAACUCCGUGCCAGCAGCCGCGGUAAUACGGAGGGGGCAAGCGUUAUUCGGAUUUACUGGGCGUAAAGGGUGUGUAGGCGGUCGUGCAAGUCUGGUGUGAAAUCUUCACCACUCAACGGGAAGAGGUCACUGGAAACUGCAUGACUUGAGUUUGGUAGAGGCUAGCGGAAUUCCUGGUGUAGCGGUGGAAUGUGUAGAUAUCAGGAAGAACACCUGUGGCGAAGGCGGCUAGCUGGGCCAAUACUGACGCUGAGACACGAAAGCGUGGGGAGCAAACGGG